This 253-nucleotide ribosomal RNA is filed under the name uncultured bacterium. RNAcentral's name for it is "partial 16S ribosomal RNA". It matches the Rfam family "Bacterial small subunit ribosomal RNA", at positions 524 to 776 of the family's 1533-position model. The record is from RNAcentral.
UACGUAGGGAGCAAGCGUUGUCCGGAAUCAUUGGGCGUAAAGCGCGCGUAGGUGGCCUCAUAAGUCCGCUGUGAAAGUCAAAGGCUCAACCUUUGAAAGCCGGUGGAUACUGUGGGGCUAGAGUACGGAAGAGGCGAGUGGAAUUCCUGGUGUAGCGGUGGAAUGCGCAGAUGUCAGGAGGAACACCAAUAGCGAAGGCAGCUCGCUGGGACGUUACUGACACUGAGGCGCGAAAGCGUGGGGAGCGAACAGG